UACGGGGGGGGCAAGCGUUGUUCGGAAUUACUGGGCGUAAAGGGCUCGUAGGUGGCCAACUAAGUCGGACGUGAAAUCCCUCGGCUUAACCGGGGAACUGCGUCCGAAACUGCAGAGCUUGAGUACCGGAGAGGGUGGCGGAAUUCCCCAAGUAGAGGUGAAAUUCGUAGAUAUGGGGAGGAACACCGGUGGCGAAGGCGGCCACCUGGACGGAUACUGACGCUGAGACGCGAAAGCGUGGGGAGCAAACAGG
RNAcentral lists this ribosomal RNA (253 nucleotides) under uncultured bacterium. RNAcentral's name for it is "partial 16S ribosomal RNA". It matches the Rfam family "Bacterial small subunit ribosomal RNA", at positions 524 to 776 of the family's 1533-position model. The record is from RNAcentral.